This 274-nucleotide ribosomal RNA is filed under the name uncultured bacterium. RNAcentral's name for it is "partial 16S ribosomal RNA". It matches the Rfam family "Bacterial small subunit ribosomal RNA", at positions 523 to 796 of the family's 1533-position model. The record is from RNAcentral.
AUACGGAGGGUGCAAGCGUUAUUCGGAAUCACUGGGCGUAAAGGACGCGUAGGCGGGUUGGCAAGUCAGAUGUGAAAUCCUACAGCUUAACUGUAGAACUGCAUUUGAAACUGCUAACCUAGAGUAUGGGAGGGGGAGAUGGAAUUAGUGGUGUAGGGGUAAAAUCCGUAGAUAUCACUAGGAAUACCGAAAGCGAAGGCGAUCUCCUGGAACAUAACUGACGCUAAGGCGUGAAAGCGUGGGGAGCAAACGGGAUUAGAAACCCGAGUAGUCC